UCAAAGGUAUUUGAUCUUUCACACUUUGUUUGCUUUCUUUUGAGUUCAGUCUUAUUUUAUUGAUCCUUUUACUUACAUUAAAGAUAAAAAUUUAUCUGGGAAUAUCCAUGGAUCUAUUUUCAACAGAAAACAUUUGGCAAAUGAUCUGAUCGGGGCUGGAGAUACAGAGAUGAACCCAAGGCCAACUGUGUACCCAAGAUAUUUCCAGUUCCAUGGAGAAAGCAGCAUUAAUGCACGAUGACAGUAGGUUUCUUCCAGAUGACCAGCAGCACCUGCCACUUGUUAGAAAUGCAAUUUCUCCAGCCCCAGCCCAGACGUACCCAAUCGGAAACAUGCUGGGGCCCAGCCGCCUAUAUUCUAACAAGGCUCCAGGUGAUUCUGAUGCAGGCUCAAGUUUGAGAACCGUUGUUCUAAAGUAUAAUGAAAGAGAAAGAAGUACUGACACAGAGAGUUGGACUCUGUCUCCAUGACACCAAAUCAAGAACUGCCUCCUUCUCCGUCUUUCACCACCACCUGGGAGACUCUGUUGGCAGAAGACAGAGCAGAGCAGUUUCUGUGGCAGACUGAGGUUGUGAUGCAAACAGCUCUGAUGACAUUUCCUUGAGUGGUGCCCUGUCACCUGAAAAGCCACUUCUGCUUCUCGAUCACGCCCCAGUCCUAAAAUGGUCACAGAGAAUUAAUCAUCUGAAACCCACAUGUCAGCACAGAUGGGGGAGGGAGGAGGCCUGUAGUGAUAAAUGACAAUGUCUUCAAAGCAAGUUCUAAAACCACAGUUUCAGUGAAUGAAAUGCUUUUGUCUAAUAAACUUUAUUUAUGUGGAGUUUACCCAUAAUGGACAUAUUUUAAACAUAUAGUUCAAUAGAGUUUGACAAAUGCUACACGCCUCUGUAAUCACCACCACAGUCAAGAUUAUAGAACAUUUCUAUCACUCCAGAAAGUUCCCUUGUGCCCUUCCCCAGAAAUGGCCACAGGAAAUAUUUUUUAUUUUAUAAGCCAUAGAACAUUUAUUUGAACAUUUUUAAAAUUGGAGUAGCAUAAAGAAGAAUCUGUUCACUUGCCAGAAAAAAACAUUUAGAUCUUAAAUCCUUAACAUAAAAUCAGAUAACACUUCCCUCAGCAUAGUUUUAGCAUGAACUAACUACUAAUGAGAAGACAUUGCCAUAGUACUUUCAAACAUGGCUAACAUUUGAAGUGUAACAUUCACCCAAAAAUCUGAGUGGGAAAGGAAUGUUUUAGCUUACUUGAUAUAUCCUGAAGUUAAAAAGGUAGUACUAAGGCUACGUGGUAGGUAGCUCACAUUGGUGAGAAGACUGGAAGAGGGAGGAAGCAAAAAUGGAAAGAAAAAAGACCACGUAAAAUACAUAUUAUUCAUGUACUUAUGUAAAAUUAUACAUAUGUAUGUACAUAUGUGGAAGUUGAAUUUAAAAUACAAAAAAAAAAUUACAGAGACCUCAAUUCUUGCAAAAUUUUAAAAGUCUCCUAGUGAACUCCCUUCAAAACAUGUCCAGUUUUAUGUCACAUCAAAUAACUUUCUCGUCCAUCUUAAAAAAUAAAAACAAACUACAAUCUAGAAGAGAUUAUUGACUGAUGGAAAUAGAGUCUGAGAUUUGGAGUGAAAAGUGCUUUCUCAGCCUGCAGCUGAACAUUCUGCUCCGAAAGUGCUUCCCUGCCUGCUUCUCCACAAAUCAAUAAUAGAUCAGACAAGAACUUUUGUUGUUGCUACUUUCUAAGAGAUGCAGAAAACUGGGCAAGUCGGGAACCCAACGAGAAUUCUUGACUGUAAACCCCAUAUCCAUCUCUGUCAAGUGCAGUCUGUGGAAGCAUUUCGGAAGGAGAGCCACUUUCAGCCUGCUCUCUUCAAAGCAGUCUGCAGCUAGGAAGCUCCAGUGAUUUCUAGUGUGACUUCUUAAGCAAACCUUAAGAUUGGUUCAUGCCAUUAGAAAAUGAAAUUAUAGCUGAAAUUUUAUCCAAAAACUGACACUGGUAAGGAAAUCUAGGAGGAAAAAAAACCCACAAUUGCACAACAAAAGAUUUACCUUACUUUUAAAAUAUAAAAACAAUUCACUAAUAAAAAUAUGGCAAGGAAACAAAACAGAUGAAUGUUGGGGGAAAAGAAAGGAAACAUAAGAUAAAAACAGAGAGGGAGGCAAUGCAUAAGGGACUCUUAAAUACAGACAAUAAGCUGAGGGUUGCUGGAGGGGAGGUUGGGGGGGGGGGGGGGGAAUGGCCUAAUGGGUGAUUGGUAUUAAGGAGGACACUUGGGAUGAGCCCUGGGUGUUAUAUGCAAGUGAUGAAUUACUAAGUUCUACUCCUGAAACCAAUACUAUACACUCUCUGUUAAGUAACUUGAAUUUAAAUAAAUAAGUUUAAAGCUAUGCCUGGGUGACUCAGUCAGUUGAACAUCCGACUCCUGAUUUCAGCUCAGGUCAUAAUCUCACUGUGAGUUCAAGCCCCGCGUUGGGCUCCACGCUGACAGUGCAGAACCUGC
Panthera uncia (snow leopard) is the source of this 2488-nucleotide long non-coding RNA. RefSeq lists it as uncharacterized. NCBI's taxonomy places the organism in Eukaryota, Metazoa, Chordata, Mammalia, Carnivora, Felidae. The transcript is spliced from 3 exons. The record is from RefSeq and is a predicted model, not a curated record.